RNAcentral lists this long non-coding RNA (253 nucleotides) under Elaeis guineensis (African oil palm). Its description in RNAcentral is "long non-coding RNA (EGUI_LNC050389)". Lineage: Eukaryota; Viridiplantae; Streptophyta; Magnoliopsida; Arecales; Arecaceae. The record is from RNAcentral.
GGCAAUAGCAUUGAAUUAUCGAUGGGAAGCUGAGGAGCAUCUAGAAGAAUAGAAGUGCUCUCCCCUAUUAUCUUAGGAGGACCGCCCUUGAUAGGAACUACAUUGGUCAUGAUGGCCUCUACGACUUUGGAUGGAGGGGAGGCAUGCUUCUUCUUUGAUCAUUUCUCUCUUCACUGAUCUAUAGCCUCAGCAACCUCAGCCUCAGCAACAUCAGCCUCGGCAAUGACAACCUCGAUCGUGGUAGCCUCAAGAG